Molecule: long non-coding RNA, 2060 nt
Filed under: Felis catus (domestic cat)
Lineage: Eukaryota; Metazoa; Chordata; Mammalia; Carnivora; Felidae
Description: lncRNA (ENSFCAG00000050187.1)
Source: RNAcentral
ACAUGUAAGGACUUCCUAAUGUCAUCUUAUUAAUUGCUUCAUGGCUUUUUUGUAAUUCCAUGUUUUCUUUUUCUUUUUUUCUUUUUUCUUUUUCUUCUUUUCUUUUUUUUUUUCUUUUGGUUUCCACCUAUCUUUGUAAACUGGUGGAUUUUCUGUGAUGGUUUGCUUUGAAUCCCCUCUCUUAUCUGCUGUAACUCUUCUCUAAGUUUUUGCUUUGUGCUUACCAUGAGGCUUAGGAAAAACAUCUUACAGAUAAAGCAGUCCAUUUUAAGCUGAUAGCCACCUAACUGUGGUCACAUACAAAAGAUCCACCCUUUUACUUCUCUGCCUUUUAUAUUUUUGAUAUCAUAGAUUACCUCUUUUUUUUAUUAUAUGUAUUACAAAUGUUAGUAGCUAUAGUUAUUUUUGAUACUCUUCUCCUUAAACCUUUAUAUUAUAUUUAAGUAGAUAAUACAUAAUUCCAUUAUAGAAUUAAAGUUUUCUAAAUCUGACUGUAUAUUUACCUUUAUCUAUCAGUGUGUUUUAUUUUUUAAUUUUUUAAAUGUUUAUUUAUUUUUGAAAGAGAGAGAGAUACAAAGUGUGAGCAACAGAGGGUCAGAGAGAGAAGGAAACACAGAAUCUGAAGCCGGUUCCAGGCUCUGAGUUGUCAGCACAGAGCCCAACGCAGGGCUCAAACCUACAAACCAUGAGAUCAUGACCUGAACUGAAGUCUGACUCUUAACCAACUGAGCCACCCAGGUGCCCCAUCAGUGUGCUUUAUAGGUGAAGUUCUGGCGUGAAGUUCAUCCUAACUAUGGAGGAUUUGGAGAAUAAGAAAAAAAGUAGUGAAAAUGAAUAAAAGUGUAAGAAACAUGAUCAUUAAAGAAGCAAUACAAUUAAUAUACAGUGCAAUAUUGAUUUCAGAAGUUUCUACACAGCGAAGGAAACAACAAAACAAAAAGUGUAUGGAAUGGGAGAAGAUAGUUGCAGAUGACAUAUCCUACAAAGAGUAUCCAAAAUCUAUAAAGAACUUAUCAAACUCAGAACCCCCCAAAAAACCAAACAACCCUGUUAAGAAAUGGGCAAAAGACAUGAAUACUUUUCCAAGGAAGAUAUCCAGAUGCCUAACAGAUACAUGAAGAGAUGCUCAACAUCACUCAUCAAUAGGGAAAUACAAAUCAAAAUCACGAUGAGAUACCACCUUACACCUGUCAGAAUGGCUAAAAUCAGCAACACAAGAAACAACAGGUAUUAGUGAAGAUGAGGAAAAAGGGGAACCCUCUUGCACUGCUGAUGGGAAUGCAAACUGGUGCAGACACUCUGGAGAACAGUAUGGAUGUUUCUCAAAAAACUAAACAUAGAAAAACCCUACUCUCCAGCAAUUGCUCUACUAGGUAUUUACCCAAAGGAUACAGAUUCAAAGGGGCACAUGCACCCCAAUGUUUACAGCAGCAGCAUCAAGAAUGAGUCUUAUUUUAAACAUCACUUUACCCUUCCACUCAUGCUUCUUUUCUUGUAGUCUGUUGUGCUUUGUACUAGUCCUCAUACUCAGAAGAAGGAAAUACUGAGGCUGGUUUACUUAGUAGGAGACCAGUGGAAGACAAACUGCUUAACUCUAACCCUUUUGAAAGUGUUGAUUAAAACAAAACAAAGCAAAGCAAACAAACAAAAACAGUGGCAUUCUUCUGUAUGUCCCACAUGUGAGUCCUAAGAGCAAUGAAUAUUAAGGAACAGAAGAAGGAGGAGAAGGAAGAGAAGGAGAAGAAAGAGAAGGUGAAGAAGAAGCAGAAGAGGAAGGAGAAGGAGACAAAGAGAAGGAGAAGGUAAGGAAGAAAAGGAAGAGGAAGUUCAGAAAGAGGAGGAGACAGGAAAUAGGAAGAGAUGGUGUGUGUGUUUUGGGGGGAGGGGUUGAUUUGUUACCAGGGCCCUGAGAAAAUGAGUGAACUGUAGAUCCAGAAAUAGGAAACUAAAGUGAAAUAGGAGAGAGAAGUAGGUAGAAUGUUUACAAGUGUAUCAUAUCCCUAGUCUGAAACAAUCCUCCCAUUGUUUCCUUGGAUCACAACUACUUUAACCAUUUACCC